GAUGAACGCUAGCUACAGGCUUAACACAUGCAAGUCGAGGGGUAACGAGAGGAAAGCUUGCUUUCCUUGUCGACGACCGGCGCACGGGUGAGUAACGCGUAUCCAACCUGCCCCCAACUAGGGAAUAACCUUGCGAAAGUAAGACUAAUACCCUAUAAUUUCCUCAGAUGUCAUCUGACGAGGAAUAAAGAUUUAUCGGUUGUGGAUGGGGAUGCGUCUGAUUAGCUUGUUGGCGGGGUAACGGCCCACCAAGGCAACGAUCAGUAGGGGUUCUGAGAGGAAGGUCCCCCACAUUGGAACUGAGACACGGUCCAAACUCCUACGGGAGGCAGCAGUGAGGAAUAUUGGUCAAUGGGCGGAAGCCUGAACCAGCCAAGUAGCGUGAAGGAUGACGGCCCUAUGGGUUGUAAACUGCUUUUAUACUGGAAUAAAGUUAGCCACGUGUGGUUAUUUGUAGGUACUGUAUGAAUAAGGACCGGCUAAUUCCGUGCCAGCCGCCGCAGUAA
RNAcentral lists this ribosomal RNA (506 nucleotides) under uncultured bacterium. Its description in RNAcentral is "partial 16S ribosomal RNA". It matches the Rfam family "Bacterial small subunit ribosomal RNA", at positions 28 to 523 of the family's 1533-position model. The record is from RNAcentral.